RNAcentral lists this unclassified non-coding RNA (274 nucleotides) under fungal sp. RNAcentral's name for it is "partial internal transcribed spacer region". The stretch from base 1 to 46 matches the Rfam family "Eukaryotic small subunit ribosomal RNA", at positions 1786 to 1831 of the family's 1831-position model. The record is from RNAcentral. Lineage: Eukaryota; Fungi.
AAGUCGUAACAAGGUUUCCGUAGGUGAACCUGCGGAAGGAUCAUUAGCUUAUGCACGAGUGCGCGCCGAGCGGGAGACUGCGCGGUGCGCUACUUUUGUGUUACACCAUGUGAACCUGGAAUGCGAAGAGUGCUGCGCUGUUGGUGCAGCGAGCCGCCCCCGGCUUGCGGCACCGACAGCAUACGCAAUCAAACCUUUGUAACAACGUGCGCAAACGACAUAUCAUAACCAUGUAAUCUAUACACAACUUUUAACAAUGGAUCUCUAGGCUCCU